AUACUUAUACAAUAGCAUACAACAUUGCAAAAUUAGGCACUUAAACCUUCCUAACAUGACAUGACCAUGGUAAUUUCACAUGCAACCAUUACAAUAAGUUUUUCUUUCAUCUUUACCAUAUUAAUGCUAUAGCUAUCAACAUGUCAUCAAACCUCAUGUCCAUCACAAAGCAUACAUAAUCAUAUCCACAAACCAUUCAUGAAGCAUUAUUAACUAUUUACCAAUCACUUAAUCCUGCAUUAGUUAUUAGCUCAUCAAUGAAUCUCAAUUCAAUCUCUAGGCAUACAUGUUGUAAGCCACAUCACAAGAGAUAAUAACAUACAUGCAUAAGAAUAAUCAUAUGGGCCCAUAACGAUAUUAGCCGACAUAGGCCAAUUUACAUGACUAAUACUACCUUAAUAACAAGCCAAUGCCUUUGGCUAAAUCAUAAUAUUACAUACUCACAUUAAAACCCUAUACAUGCCAUAGACUAGAAUCACUUAAGUUCACUUACGCCGAUAGCGUUAACUCAACAGUGUGAUAAUAUCUCUGACGGCCUCCAACCCGAGCUAACCUGGAAACUCUAGAAAACAUGGGAAAGAAGGGGGGUAAGCUUUCGCUUAGUAAGUUCAUAUGAAAACAAUAAGCAACUCAUUAACUUGUUUUUAUCAAUGUUUACAACAUAUUCUCAAGUUCACUGCAAGCUGUCUUCCUGAGCAACAGUCACUAAAUUAUUUAUAUCUGGAGCUACGAAACUCCAAAUUAAGUUCCGUUAAUUUUUCCUGAAAAUAUACUCAUUUAUCUUUCUUUCAUAAAAUUUCCAGAAUUUUUUACUUAGCCAAUUAGUACAGUUUAUUCCUCAAGUUUGCUCCUGAUUCACUGUCUGACAGUUUCAACCCUUCUGCACUAAAGUUCAAUUAUCUCAUAGUACAGGAUUUGAAUAAUGUUAUAGUCUAUUUCUCUUGAAACUAGACUCAUAUGUAUACUUACUAAUUCUUUUCUAGAAUUUUUGGUCAAGAAAUUUAGUACAGUUUAUUAGUUAAAGUUUCCCCUGUUUCAGGGUAUGACUACUCUGUCCCUUGUGCACUACAAACCAAAUUUAUCCCUGUACAGAAUUCCAAUGACCAUGCCAUUUGUUUUCCUUAAAAAUAGACUCAAUAAGGAAUCCAUUCAUGUAAGUUAUGACUCUUAAUAAUUUUUGUACAAUUUAUGGUGAAUUUCUAAAGUCAGAAUAGGGGAUCUCGAAUUCAUUCAGACCCUGUUUUACAAGAAUUCAAAUAUCACACAAUAUAGAUUUCUUUUUCUUCCCUUGUUUCUUUCAUGUGAAAAUAGACUCAUUAAGAUUUAUUCCCAUAUUUUAUUCAGCCUCUAACUCAUUUUCUACUAUUUUUAGUGUAUUUUCAAAAUUACACUACUGCAGUAACUCAAAUCUGUCAAGGCUAAGCUACUCAUUCAUGAUCAUUGUUCACAAAAUUAAUACAACAUCAUUUCAUCCAUCAUGGUAAGAACACAUAUUAUGCAUCAUAGAUCAUCACAUAUCAAGGCAUUCUCAUAGGCUUAGUAUACAUACUUGCACAACUCGUAACAUAACUCAAGUGCAUACUCACCAAUGACUUACCUCAUUGGGACCAUCAUCAACUCUUUCCUUGGUUUGCCCGUUGAACACAUGGAAUACUAAUUGGAUACUCGGAAAAGCCUUUGCACAUAAGUGCCUCAAUUGUAGCUAAAGCUACCUCAUAUCUCAUGACAUUUCAAUGCUCACUCUCGAGCUAGUCAUCUAGACUCAUAAUUCCACUACAGGAAAAUAGGGCUUUAGCGGCAUUUUUAGCGGCGUUUUAUCAAAAAACGCCGCAAAAAUUGUAAAACACAGAGCAAUAGCGGCGUUUUACCAAAAACGCCGCUAAAAACAGAGCAAUAACGGCGUUUUCCUAAAAAACGCCGCUAAAAACAGAGCAUUAGCGGCGCUCUUGGUAAAACGCCGCUAAAGACCAGAGCAUUAGCGGCGCUUUUGGUAAAACGUCGCUAAAGCCAGAGCAUUAGCGGCGCUUCUGGUAAAACGCCGCUAAAGAUCAGAGCAUUAGCGGCGCUUUUGGUAAAACGCCGCUAAAGACCAGAGCAUUAGCGGCGCUUUUGGUAAAACGCCGCUAAAAGUCAUAUAACCCUUAAACUCUAAAAAAUCAUAAACACUAAUCUAUAACCCCUAAAAUAAUAAUUAUUAAAAUUUAUGGUUAUACAAUAUAUUAAAUAUUUUCUUAUAUAAUCGUAAAAGAGAUAGUAUUGAAUUUAAAAUAUUGAAUUAAUUAUCAUUAUAGUUUAAUGUUUAUGGUUUAAGAUAUAUGGUUUAGGGUUUAAGGUUUAAGAGUUAAGAGUUAACUAGUAUUUGAAGGUUUAUGAUGAAUUAUAGGUUUAGGGAUUAUGAUUUAAGAUUUAGGGGUUAGGGUUAGAGUUUAAGGUGUAAGGGUUUGGGGUUAGGGGUUAGGGGUUAAGUGUUUAAUAUUUAUGGGAUAGGGGUUAUGAGGUUUAGGGUUUAGAUUAAUUAGUAUUUUUUAAUUUAUAUAUUAAAUGAUUUCUUAUAUAAUUGUAAAAAAGAUAAUAUUAAUUUGAAUAUAUUAAAUUUAUGAUUAUAGUUUAAAUUAUUUAAGAGAUAAUAGAUAAGCUUUAUAUAUAUAUAUUAAAUGGUUUAAGAUUUAAUCUAAAAAUAUUUUUUAUAUAUUAUAAGGUGUUAUAUUGUUUAAUGGAUUGAAGGGAUAUUUUGUGGAAAACGUUUUAAAUGAUAAGUUUACCUUUAAAUUUUAUUAAUAGCUUUUUGUUUAUACUAUUUUAAUAUUUAUCUAUACUUAUUAAUUAAAAUAUAUAUUUGUUUAUGCGAACGAAAAUUCUCUGCACUCAUUUGUGUCUCCACGUUUUCUUUUUGUAACUCAUUUUCUUUUUAUAAAACAGUGAAUUUUCCUUUAUUUGUAAAUCAAUCUUCUUAUUAAAAAGUUGCAACUCUUUUUUUUUUGUUUCUAAAUAAGUGUUGUUUUUGUUCCGACUUGUUUUAUAGAGUGUUUUUUUAUUCUUUUAAGGUUGAUGGUUUAUAUUUUAUGAUUUAGGGUUUGGAGACUAUAAUUAAGGGUUUAAGGUUUAGAUUAAUUAGUAUUUUUUAAUUUAUAUAUUAAAUAAUCUCUUAUAUAAUUAUAAAAGAAAUAAUAUUAAUUUUAAUAUUUUAAAAUUAUAACAAAUUAUUUAUUGAAAAAUAAAUAAAAAAAGUAACAGAUUGAUAUGAAUGGGUAAUUAUCUAUUUUGGAUAAUACCAAAUUAUAACAAAUUAAAUAAGGUCUUAUUUUUAUGCUUUAAUGAUUUAGCGGCGCUAGCAUAUAAACGCCGCAAUAGACCACCUUUAGCGGCGUUUUUUAAAAAAUGCCGCAAAAAAAUUUAAUUAAAUUUAAACGUUCACGUUUCAAGGAGUGAAAUUAGCGGCGUUUUGAUAUAAACGCCACAACUGUCUUUUUUUUUUUUACCAAAACUUCCCCCUCUUCUCCUUUAAUCCCUAAAUUUUCAUCCCCAAGUUCAUAGCCCAUUUGCCAUCGAAGACGCCGACCGGACCACCUAGUGCAUCGCGCUCGACUAACCCCUCUGCUGCGUAGCCGUUGCCGUCGGUCUCUACUGCCACAUCCAAUCGGUAAAAGGGCUCGAUAGUUUGGUUUCUAUUGUUGCUUCUAGGUCUGGAAAAGGGCUCCCAAUUAUCGUUAUUACACCCUAAUUAUUUUUGUUCAUUUAGUUGAAGAGUCUUUUAUUGUUCGUCUAUCAUCAUCUUCCUCCUACCAUCAUCCCCCUUCUCUCCCUCUCGCGUCUCUACAAAUCAGUUUCUUUUUCUUCUCUUUUCAUCUCAGUUCUCACCUGCCGAGUGAGCCCAGGUAAGGAAGAUUGUGAAUUAGAGGACGCGCUAUCCGCGGCGAGUGUUAUGCACGGGAAAAUACUCAACGGCAGAACCCUCAGCGCUUCCAUCGCCGUCGAUAAUGGACGAGGCCCAGAGUUUAUCAAGAAAAAGGUUUAUAAGGAUAAGUCUAGAUGUUAUGAAUGUGGGGUUAGUGGGCAUUUAUCUUAUGAGUGUCCAAAGAAUCUGUUGGGGCCAAGGGAGAGACCGGUGCCAAAGAAAGGGCGGAGAGGUGGCGGCUGUAGAGAGAAGAGGGAGGAUGAUGGGGAUUGGGGAGAGGAAGAAUCAGAGGGUGGAGAGGGGUUUGAAGAGGAGAAUUGGGCGUCAGUAGUGGAUGGGGCGGCGGAGGAGAGGUUGAGGAAAUCGAAGAUGUCGAAGGAAAAGAAGAAGAAGAUGACAAGAAAAGCGAGUUAUUUUAGUGACGAGAGUGAUGAGGAAGAAUGAUUCAAUGGUGGAAAUGGAGAAAGGGGGUUGCUUUUUCACACCCAAAUUUAACCUGGAAUCAUUUGAAAUUUGAGGUACAUUAUACUUUUGUUAUGACUUUAAGCUUCAAUAGAUUGUAACAGUUCUUGCACUUUUGUAUUAUUUGUAUCUUUAUUGUGGGAUAUUUGCUUAAUUUUUUUCAGAUGAGUGAUUAGGAAGGGUGAUUUGGGGAGGGAGAUGUUGCUUUGUUGGGGUAAAAUCUGAUGUUAGAUUAUCUGAUUAUAUUAAGAUUCGAGCUCGAAUUUGAUUGUGAUAAUGAUGGUGGCGAAUGAAAGUAUAGUUGUGAUUAGCUGUAUUGUUUAGAAGUAUGAUUGUGAUUAGGGCUUGAAUUUGAUUGUGAUAAUGGUGGCAAUGUGUUCAUUGUUUAAAAGUAUGAUUGUGAUUAGUUAUAUUGUUUAAAAAUGUGAUUUAGACUCAAAUUUGAUUGUGACAAUGGUAGUAAAUUGUUCAGUGUUUAAAAGUGUGAUUGUGAUUAGUUAUAUUGUUUAAAAGUACAAUUUGGGAUUGAAUUCGAUCAUGAUAAUGGUAGCGAAUUGUGCAUUAUUUAAAGGUAUGGAUGCGAAUAGUGAUUGGUACGAUUUGGGAUUGAAUUCGAUCACGAUAAUGGUAGCAAAUUAUGCAUUGUUUGAAGGCAUGGUUGUGAUUAGUUAUAUUGUUUAAAAGUAAGAUUUGGGAUUGAAUGUAGCUGUCUUAAAAUUUGAACAAUUAUUGGAGCUAAUGUUUGACCCUUAAUUUCUUCAUUGUCUUUCUUUGAAUUUGUUUAAUUUUUAUGCAAAUAAUCUAUUAAAAAUGUAUAACUUAUUAAAUUCAAAUAUUUUAUUAUGCAAAUUUUAUUAUCGUUGCUUAUGUCUGGGUACAUUUUCAUGUUGACUAAAUAUUUGAGAUAUGGCUUAACUUUAGACUUUUUUUUUGUAUUCAUUUAAUCUGCAAGUUCACUUAGAGAAACAUUAGCUUUAAAUUUGCAUCGCAACAUUCAUGUUUAUGGUGUUGAAAUAGACAAUGUAUCACAGCUUAUGGUCUGGUUGCCUGCUGAUUUGGACAAGUAUUUGGAUGUUCUUAGGUUUCUGCUUGUUGCUAUUACUUGCUAUUGCUUUGAUCUUUUAUUUUCGGAUCAACCUCGCAUAGUAGUAUCUGUGUCAUGUUUAAGUUCACGUAAAAGACUAGAAGCCAUUAGGCUGCAACUUAGUUAAUGAUACACUUGCAGUUACAUUAUUGUGUUGAGACUUUAAGUCGAUGUGUUUUAUCUAUUUUAAUCUGCAAAUUUGUUGGGAGAAACAUUAGUUUUAAAUAUCCAGUUGCCUGCAGAUUAGCGCAAGGUCCAAGUAGUUCCAGUUAGAAAUUUGUUUUAAAUAUCUAAUAAACAAGUCGUUUUCUGGAUUACAUUCUGUUUAAGUUUAUUUUUGUUGCUUGGUGUGAUUCCUGGAGUUCUUUCCUUUUCAAACAUAUUGGAAGUUUUCACUCAAUGAUUUUCUUCCUUAUUUAUUAUUUGAAGUUGUUAUUUAUUUUAUGCUAGUCUUGAUUAUAAUUAUUUCAGCUUAUGUUAUAAUUACUUGUAAUCUGGAGUAGGUUGUCUAUUUUUGUUUUCUUUUAGUAGUUUCUAUAUUUUCUGUAUGAUCUGCUUAUAUUUUUUGGAAAGCUUCUUCAAAUUAGUUUGCUCAGGUAUACCUGUCUAAAUAUUUUUUUCAUUUUGUUCAUCAAUUUUCCCUGCAGACUGUGACUGAAAGUGGCAUUGCUGAUCAGAUGCGGCUGACAGAACUAAUAUUGAAUGAUGUAUGCUUCUUUGAAAACCUUGCUUAUGCGUGUUAAUAUCUUCUUUAAUAUCUUCUGUAUGUAGAUCUUGUGCAGUUUAGUAUUCGGUGGUUAAUUGCCAGUCACUUAACCAUUGAUAAUGUUGGUAUUCAGCCACAUUAAGUUAUCAGUUGUGGCUGUGCUAUCAAGGUAAUAAUUUGGUUUCCUCUGGCUUCUCAACUCUCUGAGCUUUUGUGUUCUUAGUGAUCUUCCAUGUCAUAUGGGAGAAAUAUCAAACAUGUUGCAUAUUUCUUCUACAUGUAACUAUGAGCUUUAUUUCUUGGUUAUUUUUAAUUUUUUCCCUAUGCUUUCUAUUAUUUGGUUUCCUGGUUUUCUUUGUUUCUGUUUCAAACUUAUGGUUUAGUAUCUGUCUGGACUUUCUAUUAUGUUAAUUCUAAAUGUUCAGACGUGCUAAAUUGAGUUUGAUCUCAAUGCAGCAAGAUUUCUUCCAGAAGCUGAUGGAGCUAUUCAGAAUUUGUGAAGACUUGGAAAAUAUGGAUGGUCUUCACAUGAUAUUUAAAAUAGUCAAGGGGAUAAGUUAGUACACUUUUUCACUUAAAUGCUUAGUACACUUUUUCGCUUAAAUGCUCUUUUUCUUUAUUAAAACCUGCUUUAUUAUACAGGUAAAAUGCUGCAGACAUGUUACUUACCUAAAUGGUUGGGUCUUUGUGAUGUUAACUUCAAUAUGUGAUCGUGGACUGAAGUCUAGAAUGGAAAGGAACUUAGAAAAUUACAUUUGAGCCACUACAUCGUUUCUUUCGAUUGCCCUUACACCUACUGCAGAGUAGUAAAGCAAACUACAACAGAAAAGAUGGAUUCCACUUAAUUUGAGAUUUGACCAUUAAGUUUCAGACGAGUUUUUUAAGUCUGUCUAUCUCCCUAAACUCUUGAGCUUAAUCCGAGUUGCCCUUUAGAUAACCAAAUGAGCCACAAGAUUUGAUACAAGUGACAAGAGUUGUUUAAAGGAGGAGGAGAACUGAAUGUUAAUUUGCAUCUUGUAAACAUUUGAGCUACUUGCCUGUGUCUCUUUAUGUAAUAUUUAUGCAAUUUAAAUUGUUACUUCAUCAUUCAAAGUCACUACCUUCUGUAUAUAUAAAAUUCCGUUCUGAUGAAAAGAUAACAUAUGAGAUCUACAAUGAGACUAGUAUACAAAGAUAGUAAUAUGAAAGUUCUCUAUUACUCUGAAUAAGCUUGUUUUCUUUAUUUUUGGUAUUAUGAUUGAUUUUUAUUUUCACAUCAGAGUGGGGAUACUGGCACUAAGAGGGCAAAGGUUGAUCAAGAAUCAGAAUGCAAGGUAAAUGAGGCAUCAAAUUUUGUUGAGAGGAGUACCACUGAUAGAGAGAAACAUAUGGCUUCUUCAUCUCUGAAAACUGUAGCAAGUACGUCCUUCUAUGCAUAUGACUUGAAUUGAGCCUUAACAAGAGCAAUGGAUUGAAAUUGUAGCAAAGUGCUAUAAAGUUCAGCUUUAUCUGGAAUUUUAUCUAUUGAAAUUGUAGGAUUUUUCUGUACAAAUAAUGAUAUUUGCCUAUUCUUCUUGAAGACCUUUCUCAUGCAUCAGGUAAAGGGAAAACCCUUUUUUUUUUAAUUUUUGAUGAGUUUUUUAAGCCCUGAAAUGGAACAUCAAUAACUUGUUUUAGAAUUGUUGAAUGUUGUCCAUAUAUGAUUUGAAUGCUGGAAAUUUACAGCAUUUAGUUUCAUGCUUGAAGUUGAUUAAACCAUGUUGUAAAUGCAAACAUUUAUAUGCUGUUCACAUGCUAAAUUAACCAUUAGUGAGCUUAAAAUUGAUCUAUUCGAAUGUGUUAAAUUCAUUGUUCAAUGUGAUGUUAUUUCUGCUAAUGUAUUGAGUAUAUUAAGUUGUGCAAUUUGAUGUUAUAUGUGGCGUUAAUAUUGACUUGUUAAUUGCAUAUUUUAUUAUUAAUUUGAUGUUAUAUGUGUCAUUCAUUAACUUUUUUUUUCUUUUUUCUCAGGUUUGAGUUUUUGUUGGAUGCAUGGUCUAGGAUUAGCUGAAUUCAUGCAUAGUGACGACUUGUUUAAGCUAACUGCUUAUCUUAAAGUGUGCAUUCUAUCAUUAUUUUGUUCUAUUUGUAUUUUGUUAGAUUUCUGGUGUAGUAUGAUAAGUGCGGUAUUUUGUUUGGCGGGAUGUAUUUAUAUCAUAGAUUAUUCUUCUUCUCAAUUUUUGAUAAUGAAUUUUAUUUUUUUUAUAUUUUCAGGACUUUUUUAUAAUAUUUUAUUUUUUUUAAUUUUUAUGACCUUUAGCGGCGUUUGUGGGAAAAGCGUCGCUAAAGGUCCUGACAUUUAGCGGCGUUUUUUUCAAAUAAACGCCACAAAAUUUAGCAGCGCCAUCUAUAGCGACGCAAGCGCCGCGAAUAGUUUUAGUGGCGUUUAAAAGCGCCGCUAAAGGCCUAAAAAAACGCCGCUAAAAAUCAGUUUUGCUGUAGUGUUCCUAAUGACAUGUCACUCGUAUCCUAUUCUAUUCCUAAGGUUCAAAUGGGAUUUUUCCUCGUCUAUUAAGGCUUUGUCUUAUCAUAUUUCUAUUAAUCACAUACACUUAAUAUAUGUGCAAUUUAUGUAAUGAUAACAUUUAAAUACAUGUAUAGCAUGGUAUUGUUUACAUACGAACUUACCUCGAUACCACAAAGGUGAAAAGGACAUAAUCAUCCCUUAAUCGAUUUCUUUCUGUUCUAGGUCCAAAUCUCGAUUUCCUUGAUCUAUAAUAUCACAUUUAGCCUACCAAUCAGUCACAAUAUUCAUAUGGGUCUAAAAAUCAUAUUUUUACAAAUUUUUAUUUUGACCCCUAAACUUUUGUAUAUUUGCACUUUUGCCCCAAUGCUCGUAAAAUAUUUUUUAUCACAUUUCUUUACUCCUUGAGUCUAGAUAAACCAUUUUCAUAACUAUAACAACUCAUAAUUUCAACUAUUUUACACAUUACAACUCAUUUUACAACUUAGCAAUCUAGCCCUUUUUUAAGGUGUUUUCAUGCAAUUUCUUUCACAAAAGUUGUUUAUUAGACAACUAGGACUCAUAAUCUUUCAUAAAAACACAGCAAACAACACAUUUACUCUCAUGGAAAAAUCCUAGACUCUUCAUCAUUUUGCAAAAUAGUCCCCUCUUAUGAAAGCUCAUGCUUUAGGGGUUCCAAAAAUGUAAAAAUUAUCAAGCAAAGACAUUAAAAUCACUUACAAGCAAGGGAAAUAUGUUGCUGAAAUUUUCCAGCUUCAAAGCCCUUUAUUUGCUGCAUAUUUCGGUGAAGGAGAAGAGAAAAAUGAUAGCUUUUUCUUUUUGAUUUGUUAAUAAUAAAAC
RNAcentral lists this long non-coding RNA (9466 nucleotides) under Gossypium barbadense (sea-island cotton). RNAcentral describes it as "long non-coding RNA (GBAR_LNC011688)". Lineage: Eukaryota; Viridiplantae; Streptophyta; Magnoliopsida; Malvales; Malvaceae. The record is from RNAcentral.